Non-coding RNA from Bacillus sp. FJAT-25509, 111 nucleotides. Lineage: Bacteria; Bacillati; Bacillota; Bacilli; Caryophanales; Bacillaceae. The record is from Rfam.
AGGUGAUGUCUUCUAACCUUUAUCAACGAAGGCACUCGGUUAUGCUGUGGGUUGAAUAAACCUUAGACGCAAGUCGUCGAAAGUGUAGUGUGAGGACAGGUUAGAUGCCUA